CCUACGGGCGGCAGCAGUGGGGAAUAUUGCACAAUGGGGGAAACCCUGAUGCAGCGACGCCGCGUGAGUGAAGAAGUAAUUCGUUAUGUAAAGCUCUAUCAGCAGGGAAGAAAAUGACGGUACCUGAGUAAGAAGCCCCGGCUAACUACGUGCCAGCAGCCGCGGUAAUACGUAGGGGGCAAGCGUUAUCCGGAUUUACUGGGUGUAAAGGGAGCGUAGACGGCAGUGCAAGUCUGGAGUGAAAGGCGGGGCUCAACCCCCGGACUGCUCUGGAAACUGUACGGCUGGAGUGCAGGAGAGGUAAGUGGAAUUCCUAGUGUAGCGGUGAAAUGCGUAGAUAUUAGGAGGAACAUCAGUGGCGAAGGCGACUAUCUGGCACAUAACUGACGCUGAGGAGCGAAAGCGUGGGUAGCAAACAGGAUUAGAUACCCGGGUAGUC
This 439-nucleotide ribosomal RNA is filed under the name uncultured bacterium. RNAcentral's name for it is "partial 16S ribosomal RNA". It matches the Rfam family "Bacterial small subunit ribosomal RNA", at positions 338 to 795 of the family's 1533-position model. The record is from RNAcentral.